GAUGAAGAACGUAGCGAAAUGCGAUAAGUGAUGUGAAUUGCAGAAUUCAGUGAAUCAUCGAAUCUUUGAACGCACAUUGCGCCCGCCAGUAUUCUGGCGGGCAUGCCUGUUCGAGCGUCAUUUCAACCAUCAAGCCCCCGGCUUGUGUUGGGGACCUGCGGCUGCCGCAGGCCCUGAAAACCAGUGGCGGGCUCGCUGUCACACCGAGCGUAGUAGAUUUUCAUCUCGCUCAGGGCGUGCUGCGGGUUCCGGCCGUAAAAAGCCUUAUUUACCCAAGGUUGACCUCGGAUCAGGUAGGAAGACCCGCUGAACUUAAGCAUAUCAAUAAGCGGAGGA
Molecule: unclassified non-coding RNA, 336 nt
Filed under: soil metagenome
Description: partial contains 5.8S ribosomal RNA, internal transcribed spacer 2, and large subunit ribosomal RNA
Rfam family: 5.8S ribosomal RNA (bases 1-120)
Source: RNAcentral